AUACGUAGGUGGCAAGCGUUGUCCGGAAUUAUUGGGCGUAAAGCGCGCGCAGGCGGUCCUUUAAGUCUGAUGUGAAAGCCCACGGCUCAACCGUGGAGGGUCAUUGGAAACUGGGGGACUUGAGUGCAGAAGAGGAAAGUGGAAUUCCAAGUGUAGCGGUGAAAUGCGUAGAGAUUUGGAGGAACACCAGUGGCGAAGGCGACUUUCUGGUCUGUAACUGGCGCUGAGGCGCGAAAGCGUGGGGAGCAAACAGGAUUAGAUACCCUGGUAGUCCACGCCGUAAACGAUGAGUGCUAAGUGUUAGGGGGUUUCCGCCCCUUAGUGCUGCAGCUAACGCAUUAAGCACUCCGCCUGGGGAGUACGGUCGCAAGACUGAAACUCAAAUGAAUUGGCGGGG
Molecule: ribosomal RNA, 397 nt
Filed under: uncultured bacterium
Lineage: Bacteria
Description: partial 16S ribosomal RNA
Rfam family: Bacterial small subunit ribosomal RNA
Source: RNAcentral